AUGAACCGUAUCAGAACAAAUCAUUGGCAUUGCAGCUUCAGGGACAUGUAUGAUGCAUAUCCCAUCACUGAACAAGAUUGGAUUUUAGUGUAUACAAGCCAUCCUACUCGCUGCCUCCUCAGCUACUCAGAUAGUUAUUCCUUCUCAUUAUCAGUGAUGGACUCGUCGAGAUCGAGGGCACCAACGACAUAUGCCGAGGGCGUCCAUCGACAACCUGCCCAAUGUCCGGAUUCACCGAGUACAACUAGAGACACUAUUGGUUGCCUGCAGGCCUGUGAGUUGAGUUGCUGCUUGGUUGGAGAUGUUGAUGUUGUUCGAGACGCCCGCUGGAUUCACCCUUUUCAAGGUUCUGAAUAA
RNAcentral lists this ribosomal RNA (357 nucleotides) under Triticum aestivum (bread wheat). Its description in RNAcentral is "partial small subunit ribosomal RNA". The record is from RNAcentral. Lineage: Eukaryota; Viridiplantae; Streptophyta; Magnoliopsida; Poales; Poaceae.